UAAACUUGUGCUUGGAACCCCAUUCGGGU
This 29-nucleotide small RNA is filed under the name Bombyx mori (domestic silkworm). RNAcentral describes it as "ovarian small RNA-18252". Lineage: Eukaryota; Metazoa; Arthropoda; Insecta; Lepidoptera; Bombycidae. The record is from RNAcentral.